UACGGGGGGAGCAAGCGUUGUUCGGAUUUACUGGGCGUAAAGGGCGCGUAGGCGGCGCAACAAGUCACUUGUGAAAUCUCCGGGCUUAACCCGGAGCGGCCAAGUGAUACUGUCGUGCUAGAGUGCGGAAGGGGCUACUGGAAUUCUCGGUGUAGCGGUGAAAUGCGUAGAUAUCGAGAGGAACACCUGCGGCGAAGGCGGGUUGCUGGGCUGACACUGACGCUGAAGCGCGAAAGCCAGGGGAGCGAACGGG
This 253-nucleotide ribosomal RNA is filed under the name uncultured bacterium. RNAcentral's name for it is "partial 16S ribosomal RNA". It matches the Rfam family "Bacterial small subunit ribosomal RNA", at positions 524 to 776 of the family's 1533-position model. The record is from RNAcentral.